RNAcentral lists this ribosomal RNA (254 nucleotides) under uncultured bacterium. RNAcentral describes it as "partial 16S ribosomal RNA". It matches the Rfam family "Bacterial small subunit ribosomal RNA", at positions 524 to 776 of the family's 1533-position model. The record is from RNAcentral.
UACAGGGGGUGCAAACGUUGCUCGGAAUCAUUGGGCGUAAAGCGCACGUAGGCGGUCUGUUAUGUCGGAUGUGAAAGCCCUUGGCUCAACUGAGGAAGUGCAUCCGAAACUGGCAGGCUAGAGUACUAAAGAGGAUCGCGGAAUUCCCGGUGUAGAGGUGAAAUUCGUAGAUAUCGGGAGGAACACCAGUGGCGAAGGCGACUACCUGGCCUGUUUCUUGACGCUGAGGCGCGAAAGCUAGGGGAGCAAACGGG